GGUUACUGGUGCAAAGAGGGAGCAUCUUCUCCCAGUCCGCUGGAUGGACUCUCAGGUUCCCUGUGUCCGCCUGGUCAAUACUGCCCCUCAGGCACCACUGCUCCUGUGGCCUGCCCUGAAGGAACCUGGUCAAACUCCUCAGGCCUGCGUAGCCAGGAGGACUGCAAGGCCUGCCUGGGGGGAUUUUUCUGUGACUCUGCAGGCCUCACUAAACCCAGUGGACCCUGCAGUGCGGGAUAUUACUGUAUAGAGGGAGCCGUCACAUCCACCCCUACCAAAGGAAUUAC
Molecule: long non-coding RNA, 287 nt
Organism: Toxotes jaculatrix (banded archerfish)
Lineage: Eukaryota; Metazoa; Chordata; Actinopteri; Toxotidae
Exons: 3
Source: RefSeq, a predicted model, not a curated record